AUCUUUGCCACUUGAAUUGGUUUCGGACAGACUUUUCUGCUGUCCGGAUUAAAAGGGAAUCGGGUGUAAAUCCCGGACAGUCCCGCUGCUGUGAAGCUCUGUUAAAAUCUUGGAAAGAACCUUUGCCACUGAUACUGUGUUUAUAUAUCGGGAAGGCCUCAAGAUCUGGAGUCAGUCAGAAGACCUGCCAUUCGUUAAAGUCUGCC
This 206-nucleotide non-coding RNA is filed under the name Bacteroides fluxus. Lineage: Bacteria; Pseudomonadati; Bacteroidota; Bacteroidia; Bacteroidales; Bacteroidaceae. RNAcentral also lists the same sequence under 1 other name. The record is from RNAcentral.